GCCAGGCAUGGUGGCUCAUGCCUGUAAUCCCGGCACUUUGGGAGGCCGAGGUGGGUGGAUCACCUGAGGUCAGGAGUUCAAGACCAGCCUGGCCAACAUGGUGAAACCCCAUCUCUA
Molecule: non-coding RNA, 117 nt
Filed under: Homo sapiens (human)
Lineage: Eukaryota; Metazoa; Chordata; Mammalia; Primates; Hominidae
Source: Rfam by way of RNAcentral